AAGGAUAAAAAACCGUAAACGGGCCGAGGAUAUCUCAGUCAGCAUCUCCGAACAUGGCUGAAAUAAAAUUGGACAUUCCGGUGGAUGCCGCGGAGGAAACCGAUGUCUGCCGGAUUGACAUGCAGACGGCCAUUCUGGAUGUUUCUGACGCAACGCAAACAAACGGCAAGCCAACACCCGUCAAUUAUGCGAACAUUGUUCAGCAGACACGCGAUGCGUUUAAUAGCGGCAAAACACGACCAUUGGAAUGGAGAGUCAAGCAACUGAAACAAGUGAUACGUAUGCUAAAGGAAACUUCCUCCGAUAUUAUAGCAGCACUCGCCUCAGACUUGCGCAGAAAUAAACAUGAAACGAUUAUGCUGGAAAUCAAUUAUAUGAUCGAAGAGAUCAGCUACAUGCUUAUGCACAUUAAAGAAUGGGCGUCGCCAGAUAAGCCACCGAAGGGACUGGCAAACCUGUUCGAUGGAUUGGAAAUUCGGAAGGACCCUUACGGAGUUGUAUUGGUCAUUGGUGCGUGGAAUUAUCCUCUUCAACUGACCAUACUACCUAUGGUCGGCGCCAUAGCUGCUGGAAAUUGCGUGAUAGCGAAACCAUCCGAGGUGGCACCGGCUACGGCGCAAUAUGUGUGUGACACCCUUCCAAAAUACAUAGAUAUGGAAUGUUGCCGCGUAGUAACAGGAGGAAUUCCGGAAACGGCGGAACUACUCAAGGAACGUUUCGAUUAUAUCUUUUACACCGGAUCCACCAUGGUGGGAAAAAUCGUGCGGGAAGCUGCCAACAAGUAUCUCACGCCCGUUACAUUAGAGCUGGGCGGCAAGAGCCCCGUAUACAUAGAUAACACAGUGGAUAUGAAUCUGGCGGUAAAACGUAUCUUGUGGGGCAAAUGCAUUAACGUUGGUCAAACGUGCAUCGCACCCGAUUACGUUCUGUGCACACCGGAGGUACAGGACAAAUUCAUCAAUGAGGCUAGAAAGAUCAUAAAGGAGUGGUACGGCGAAAAUCCACGAGAAAGCACCGACAUGGCGCGCAUAAUCACGGAUAAACAUUAUCAACGGCUUACCAGUUUCUUAAACGGCAAUAAUGGCAAGAUCGCGCUGGGCGGUGAUGUAAAUCCUAGGGAGAAAUACAUCGCGCCCACGGUACUGAUUGACGUCAAACCGACAGAUCCCAUUAUGCAGGAGGAAAUCUUUGGACCAAUAUUGCCUAUAAUAAAUAUUAAUAACGCGUACGAAGCAAUUAAAUUUAUCAAUAACGGUGAAAAUCCACUCGUACUGUACGUAUUUUCCACGAGCAAAGAUGUGCAAGAACUCUUUAUAGAUCAAGUGCGCUGCGGAACCGUGUGCGUCAACGACACGGUGUUGCAAUAUUGCGAGAGAAGCCAUUAGUACUAUAUAUAUUUAGCCAAGAUAAAGGGACUAUAUCUGUGAUCAUUGAAAAUACAUCUAGUGGGGAUGUUCUUGUGAAUGAUACAAUGAUACAUGCGACAGUUGAGACUUUACCCUUCGGAGGGGUAGGAUAUUCCGGUAUGGGAGCCUACCAUG
Molecule: unclassified non-coding RNA, 1541 nt
Filed under: Ooceraea biroi (clonal raider ant)
Lineage: Eukaryota; Metazoa; Arthropoda; Insecta; Hymenoptera; Formicidae
Description: aldehyde dehydrogenase, dimeric NADP-preferring, transcript variant X8
Source: RNAcentral